CCUACGGGUGGCUGCAGUGGGGAAUAUUGGACAAUGGGCGAAAGCCUGAUCCAGCCAUGCCGCGUGUGUGAAGAAGGCCUUCGGGUUGUAAAGCACUUUCAGUGGGGAAGAAAGCCUUGGGGCUAAUACCCUCGAGGAAGGACAUCACCCACAGAAGAAGCACCGGCUAACUCCGUGCCAGCAGCCGCGGUAAUACGGAGGGUGCGAGCGUUAAUCGGAAUUACUGGGCGUAAAGCGCGCGUAGGCGGUCUGAUAAGCCGGUUGUGAAAGCCCCGGGCUCAACCUGGGAACGGCAUCCGGAACUGUCAGGCUAGAGUGCAGGAGAGGAAGGUAGAAUUCCCGGUGUAGCGGUGAAAUGCGUAGAGAUCGGGAGGAAUACCAGUGGCGAAGGCGGCCAUCUGGACUGACACUGACGCUGAGGUGCGAAAGCGUGGGUAGCAAACAGGAUUAGAUACCCCGGUAGUC
This 465-nucleotide ribosomal RNA is filed under the name Vreelandella stevensii. RNAcentral's name for it is "partial 16S ribosomal RNA". It matches the Rfam family "Bacterial small subunit ribosomal RNA", at positions 338 to 795 of the family's 1533-position model. The record is from RNAcentral. Lineage: Bacteria; Pseudomonadati; Pseudomonadota; Gammaproteobacteria; Oceanospirillales; Halomonadaceae.